Molecule: transfer RNA, 70 nt
Filed under: Athalia icar
Lineage: Eukaryota; Metazoa; Arthropoda; Insecta; Hymenoptera; Athaliidae
Description: tRNA-Leu
Source: RNAcentral
UCUAUUUUGACAGAUUAGUGUGUUAAAUUUAGAAUUUAAUUAUAAAUAAAAUUUAUUUAUUUAAAUAGAA